Molecule: long non-coding RNA, 415 nt
Organism: Oncorhynchus keta (chum salmon)
Lineage: Eukaryota; Metazoa; Chordata; Actinopteri; Salmoniformes; Salmonidae
Exons: 4
Source: RefSeq, a predicted model, not a curated record
AGGGUGUUUCUGUUGGUUGGGGGCUUUCAUCAAGGUUAGUGUUUCUGUAGGUUGGGGGCUUUCAUCAAGGUUAGUGUUUCUGUAGGUUGGGGGCUUUCAUCAAGGUUAGUGUUUCUGUAGGUUGGGGGCUUUCAUCAAGGUUAGUGUUUCUAUAGGUUGGGGGGCUUUCAUCAAGGUUAGUGUUUCUAAAGGUUGGGGGCUUUCAUCAAGGUUAGUGUUUCUAUAGGUUGGGGGGCUUUCAUCAAGGUUAGUGUUUCUAUAGGUUGGGGGCUUUCAUCAAGGUUAGUGUUUCUGUAGGUUGGGGGCUUUCAUCAAGGUUAGUGUUUCUGUAGGUUGGGGGCUUUCAUCAAGGUUAGUGUUUCUUUAGGUUGGGGGCUUUCAUCAAGGUUAGUGUUUCUUUAGGUUGGGAGCUUUC